RNAcentral lists this ribosomal RNA (286 nucleotides) under uncultured Desulfuromonas sp. RNAcentral describes it as "partial 16S ribosomal RNA". It matches the Rfam family "Bacterial small subunit ribosomal RNA", at positions 1096 to 1382 of the family's 1533-position model. The record is from RNAcentral. Lineage: Bacteria; Pseudomonadati; Thermodesulfobacteriota; Desulfuromonadia; Desulfuromonadales; Desulfuromonadaceae.
GCGCAACCCUCGUCCUUAGUUGCCAGCAUUAAAGUUUGGGCACUCUAAGGAGACUGCCGGUGUUAAACCGGAGGAAGCGGGGAUGACGUCAAGUCCUCAUGGCCCUUAUGUCCAGGGCUACACACGUGCUACAAUGGCCGGUACAAAGGGUAGCAAGACCGCGAGGUGGAGCCAACCCCAAAAAGCCGGUCUCAGUUCGGAUUGGAGUCUGCAACUCGACUCCAUGAAGUUGGAAUCGCUAGUAAUCGUGGAUCAGCAUGCCACGGUGAAUACGUUCCCGGGCCUU